GUGCUCGCUUUGGCAGCACAUAUACCAAAAUUGGAACAAUACGAGAAGAUUAGCAUGGCCCCUAGGUGCAAGUGACAUACAAAUUUGUGAGGCAUUCUAUAUUUAA
Small nuclear RNA from Cynocephalus volans (Philippine flying lemur), 106 nucleotides. The record is from RefSeq and is a predicted model, not a curated record. NCBI's taxonomy places the organism in Eukaryota, Metazoa, Chordata, Mammalia, Dermoptera, Cynocephalidae.